AGAACGAACGCUGGCGGCAUGCCUAAUACAUGCAAGUCGAACGAACUCUUCGGAGUUAGUGGCGCACGGGUGCGUAACGCGUGGGAAUCUGCCCCUUGGUUCGGAAUAACAGUUGGAAACGACUGCUAAUACCGGAUGAUGACGAAAGUCCAAAGAUUUAUCGCCAAGGGAUGAGCCCGCGUAGGAUUAGCUAGUUGGUGAGGUAAAGGCUCACCAAGGCAACGAUCCUUAGCUGGUCUGGAGAGGAUGAUCAGCCACACGUGGGACU
This 268-nucleotide ribosomal RNA is filed under the name uncultured soil bacterium. RNAcentral describes it as "partial 16S ribosomal RNA". It matches the Rfam family "Bacterial small subunit ribosomal RNA", at positions 26 to 320 of the family's 1533-position model. The record is from RNAcentral.